AAACCGCAAGCGUGCAGUCGCUGUACGGCAUAAAAACCGUGCAGAGGAAAGUCCGAACUUCACAGGGCAGGGUGCCGGUCGAGAGCCUUUCGGGGCUCAAGGCCGGGGAUAGCGGCGCAAGCCGCUUAUCACAGAGAGUGCAACAGAAAGCAUACCGCUCAGGGCAACCGGAGUAAGGGUGAAACGGCGGUGUAAGAGACCACCAGACAUUUCAGUAAUGGAGUGUGCUCGGCAAACCUCCCCGAAGCAAGGCUAAAUAGGAAAGCUUUCCCCCCGCGGGGAAAAGAGCGGCCCGUUCAAUUCCGAAAGGAGAGUUUUCGGGUAAGCCGCAUCAGAUAAAUGGCUGCAGUUUUGCCCGGCUACCGGGCAAUUCACAGAAUUCGGCUUACAGCUUCGGUUUCGGU
This 404-nucleotide RNase P RNA is filed under the name Chlorobium sp. RNAcentral describes it as "Bacterial RNase P class A". It matches the Rfam family "Bacterial RNase P class A". Rfam says of the family: Ribonuclease P (RNase P) is a ubiquitous endoribonuclease, found in archaea, bacteria and eukarya as well as chloroplasts and mitochondria. Its best characterised activity is the generation of mature 5'-ends of tRNAs by cleaving the 5'-leader elements of precursor-tRNAs. Lineage: Bacteria; Pseudomonadati; Chlorobiota; Chlorobiia; Chlorobiales; Chlorobiaceae. The record is from Rfam by way of RNAcentral.